AGCGAACGCUGGCGGCAUGCCUAACACAUGCAAGUCGCACGGGUCGGCUUCGGCCGGUCAGUGGCGGACGGGUGAGGAACGCGUAGGGAUCUGUCCUCUGGAGGGGGAUAACAGCGUGAAACUGCGGCUAAGACCGCAUGGGGCGCCGGUGUGAGAGCCGGUGUCAAAGGCGCGCAUCGCGAGGUGUGUGUGGCCGGGGGGUGAGGCUGCGUCCGAUUAGCUGGUUGGCGGGGUAGUGGCCCACCGAGGCGUUGAUCGGUAGCUGGGCGGAGAGGGUGAGCAGCCACACUGGGGAUGCGACACGGACCAGACUCCUACGGGAGGCAGCAGUGGAGAAUAUUGGACGAGGGGCGCAAGGCUGAUGCAGCAAUGCGGCGUGGGUGAAGAAGGUCUUCGUAUUGUGAAGCCCUUUCGGCGGGGACGAUGGUGACGGUACCCGAAGAAGAAGCCCCGGCUAACUUCGUG
This 465-nucleotide ribosomal RNA is filed under the name uncultured bacterium. Its description in RNAcentral is "partial 16S ribosomal RNA". It matches the Rfam family "Bacterial small subunit ribosomal RNA", at positions 30 to 507 of the family's 1533-position model. The record is from RNAcentral.